UAGGGCUUCACACGUCAUACAAUGGUCGGUACAGAGGGUUGCCAAGCCGCGAGGUGGAGCCAAUCCCUUAAAGCCGAUCGUAGUCCGGAUCGUAGUCUGCAACUCGACUACGUGAAGUCGGAAUCGCUAGUAAUCGCGGAUCAGCAUGUCGCGGUGAAUACGUUCCCGGGUCCUU
This 175-nucleotide ribosomal RNA is filed under the name uncultured Thauera sp. RNAcentral describes it as "partial 16S ribosomal RNA". It matches the Rfam family "Bacterial small subunit ribosomal RNA", at positions 1209 to 1382 of the family's 1533-position model. Lineage: Bacteria; Pseudomonadati; Pseudomonadota; Betaproteobacteria; Rhodocyclales; Zoogloeaceae. The record is from RNAcentral.